Molecule: non-coding RNA, 637 nt
Organism: Tachysurus fulvidraco (yellow catfish)
Lineage: Eukaryota; Metazoa; Chordata; Actinopteri; Siluriformes; Bagridae
Source: the annotation of a RefSeq genome assembly
AUUCUUCAUACUUUAGCGCUCUGCGAGUGUUUAUAACCUUCUGGCUUUAACACUUCAUGACUGAGAGCUGCUACUUCACCCACAGCAACCAUGACUCUGAUCAGCAUCUUCAUCUGCACACUGGUCCUCUGGGCUCAAGGAUCCAGAGGUCAGGUGAUUGUGACUCAGACUCCUUCAGUGCAAACUGUUGCUCCGGGAAACACAGUCACCAUCAACUGCAGAACCAAUCUCAGAGUAUUUGAUGGUAACUAUCUACACUGGUACCUGCAGAAACCAGGAGAAGCCCCUAAACUUCUGAUUAAGCAUGUUAAUAGUUUACAAUCAGGUAUUUCAGCUCGCUUCAAAGGCAGUGGAUCUGAUACUGACUUCACGCUGACCAUCAGUGAAGUCCAGACUGAAGAUGCAGGAGAUUAUUACUGUCUUAGUGACCUUCAGAUCAGUGGCAUCUCAGUGUUCACACAGUGGUAAAGAGUCGUACAAAAACCUCGGUAAGUGAGAGCACAUGGAGAAGCACUGCUGCAGCUGGGAGCGACUGCAGGUGCUGAGGAGGAUGUGAUACAGCACAAUAACAUUCAUUCAUUCAUUCAUUUUCUACCGCUUACCCGAACUACCUCGUGUCACGGGGAGCCUGUGCCUA